UGAGUAACCUGCCCUUAACUCUGGGAUAAGCCUGGGAAACCGGGUCUAAUACCGGAUAUGACUCCUCAUCGCAUGGUGGGGGGUGGAAAGCUUUUUGUGGUUUUGGAUGGACUCGCGGCCUAUCAGCUUGUUGGUGAGGUAAUGGCUCACCAAGGCAACGAUGCGUAGCCGACCUGAGAGGGUGAUCGGCCACAUUGGAACUGAGACACGGUCCAGACUCCUACGGGAGCAG
RNAcentral lists this ribosomal RNA (232 nucleotides) under uncultured bacterium. RNAcentral's name for it is "partial 16S ribosomal RNA". It matches the Rfam family "Bacterial small subunit ribosomal RNA", at positions 118 to 347 of the family's 1533-position model. The record is from RNAcentral.